GACGAACGCUGGCGGCGUGCUUAACACAUGCAAGUCGAACGGAAAGGCCCUGCUUUUGUGGGGUGCUCGAGUGGCGAACGGGUGAGUAACACGUGAGUAACCUGCCCUUGACUUUGGGAUAACUUCAGGAAACUGGGGCUAAUACCGGAUAGGAGCUCCUGCUGCAUGGUGGGGGUUGGAAAGUUUCGGCGGUUGGGGAUGGACUCGCGGCUUAUCAGCUUGUUGGUGGGGUAGUGGCUUACCAAGGCUUUGACGGGUAGCCGGCCUGAGAGGGUGACCGGCCACAUUGGGACUGAGAUACGGCCCAGACUCCUACGGGAGGCGGCAGUGGGGAAUAUUGCACAAUGGGCGGAAGCCUGAUGCAGCAACGCCGCGUGCGGGAUGACGGCCUUCGGGGUGUAAACCGCUUUCGCCUGUGACGAAGCGUGAGUGACGGUAAUGGGUAAAGAAGCACCGGCUAACUACG
This 466-nucleotide ribosomal RNA is filed under the name uncultured bacterium. Its description in RNAcentral is "partial 16S ribosomal RNA". It matches the Rfam family "Bacterial small subunit ribosomal RNA", at positions 28 to 505 of the family's 1533-position model. The record is from RNAcentral.